Molecule: ribosomal RNA, 253 nt
Filed under: uncultured bacterium
Lineage: Bacteria
Description: partial 16S ribosomal RNA
Rfam family: Bacterial small subunit ribosomal RNA
Source: RNAcentral
UACGAAGGGGGCUAGCGUUGUUCGGAAUUACUGGGCGUAAAGCGCGUGUAGGCGGUUGCCUUAGUCAGGUGUGAAAGCCUUGAGCUUAACUCAAGAAAUGCACUUGAUACUGGGCGACUAGAGGACCGGAGAGGAUAGUGGAAUUCCCAGUGUAGUGGUGAAAUACGUAGAGAUUGGGAAGAACACCAGUGGCGAAGGCGGCUAUCUGGACGGUUACUGACGCUAAGACGCGAAAGCGUGGGGAGCAAACAGG